Molecule: long non-coding RNA, 1513 nt
Filed under: Salmo salar (Atlantic salmon)
Lineage: Eukaryota; Metazoa; Chordata; Actinopteri; Salmoniformes; Salmonidae
Description: lncRNA (ENSSSAG00000106950.1)
Source: RNAcentral
CGUCUUGUGACCGUAGCGUACGUGUAGGUAUGUACGGCAGGACCAAAUCGGAAAGAUAGGUAGGAGGAUAAAAUUGUCUUAUCUCUCCAAUACAAUCUCUUCAGGACACCAUGCACUUCAGCCCAUACAUAAGCAGAACCCCAUUGAGUGGGACAGAUAAUAUGGAGUGUGUGUAAGGGAGUUCUACAAAGUUGCCUGCAGCAAAGAAAGACUGCAUCCCAAAUGGCACCCUAUUCCCUAUAUAGUGCACCCCUUGUGCCAUUUGGGACGCAAUCAGAGUGAUGUGUCCAAGGCCCAUAGAGCGGUAGCAUAGGGUUGGUUGAGUGAUGAAGCACUGUGGAGGGGUGGGUGGGCUGGUCUGGUCCCCCUUCUCUGGAGCCCCUGUCCCCAUGCAUCUGGCAGGAGAGGAAUGUGCUGGUCAUUCAUGACUGGAGAGGGUAGAGAGGAGAGGAUAGAGGGAGAAAAUAGAGGAUAGAGGGAGAGGGGAGAGAGGAGAGGAUAGAGGGAGAAAAUAGAGGAUAGAGAGAGGGGAGAGAGGAGAGGGGGGAGGGAGAAAAUAGAGGAUAGAGAGAGGGGAGAGAGGAGAGGGGAGAGCUGGGCUGCAUUCCAAAUGGCACCCUAUUUAUUAUACAGUGCAUCCAUUUUGACCAUAGCCCUAUGGGCCCAGGUCAAAAAUAGUGCACUAUAUAGAUGUAGCCCUCAUUUCUCCCAGCGCAGGAUUGGGGGGGGUUAUGGGGGGGUGCAUUGUUCGGUCACCCUUUUGUCCCUCAGAUAGCAUAUGAAUGGGGUGCAAGGAGAGGAGAGCAAUGGUGGUGGUGGGGGUGUCUUAUCAGAAGAAGUGAAAAGAAAACAUCUGUGUGUUUUGGAUUAGACCCUGUCUGGGUGGGCUUCACCCCUCUGUUCCCUCUCACAUAGAUUUGGAUUGUGUCCCAAAUGGCCCCCUAUUCCAUAUUUAGAGCAUUAGGGCACAUUAACUUUUCAUCCGUGAUCGUCCACAGCCGCCUGGUCUCCUGCAGGUCUUAAAUGUCUCAGUGUCUGCCUUGAACACGAAAAGUCAAUUUUCGGAGGUUGUGACGAGGUUCGGGAAAAAAAUAUCUCUUUCCAAUUCAACAUUCACAAGGUCAAAGGUCAGAGGUUAGAGGGGCCAGGUUGGUUAAAUUGGGUCUGCUUUAUUUUGGGAUAAUGCAUACCCGACUGGGUGAUGGCUUUGUGGUCUGGCACAAUUUUUUUUUAUCAUUGACAGGAAUAACAUGUAAGUCUGCAGCGGCCGGCCCAGCUGAACCGCUCUCUAUAAAUAUUGAACACAGGGAGAGAGAGGAGAGGGGAUAAGGCUGGGCCCUGGCCUGGAUCACAGCUGAUAAGCUAAAAAGAAUUACACUUGGACUUGAGAGCCCCGAGUACAAUGCAUGAGUUACAGAAGGAAACGGUAUACUCUCUAUGCAGGGGAGCAAACAACAUCAAGCAUUCUCUGAUCAAAUCUUCAAAAAGGAGCUGUUUCAUAAUCAAAUCAAAU